RNAcentral lists this unclassified non-coding RNA (890 nucleotides) under uncultured fungus. RNAcentral's name for it is "sequence contains 18S rRNA gene, ITS1, 5.8S rRNA gene, ITS2, 28S rRNA gene". The stretch from base 299 to 890 matches the Rfam family "Eukaryotic large subunit ribosomal RNA", at positions 1 to 961 of the family's 3401-position model. The record is from RNAcentral. Lineage: Eukaryota; Fungi.
GGAUGGAUCAUACCAUUUACCAAUCUGAUUUGCGAAUUUAACAUUAGUUACUAUUUCUACGAAGUAGCUGUAUGGCUACCUACCAAUUUACAUACACUUAAUAGUUGUUCGGUGGAUUUCUUGGCUGGGUUGAUGAAGAAGCGCGGUAACGUCCCUGAAAGACUUUUACUAUGCUAUUCAUUGUGAAAGGUUCGUGAAUAUGUUGUUUGCUUGGCAGUAAGUUCUCUGUGGUUUACCAUUUUAUAUCUAGUUCAUUGUUGGUUCGUUCGAUACUAAUUUGAUGAACCGCCCAUAUGAUAUCCCUGAGAUCUUACGAGUUACCCACUGAACUUAAGCAUAUCAGUAAGUGGAGGAAAAUAAACCAAAUGGGAUCACGUGAUUAGCGGCGAGUGAAAACGUGAAAUUGUUCUGUUGUCCCACUGUGAUUGCAACUCAGGUUGCGUCGCUCUGGGCAUUUGAACUCUUGUAAGUAGGCCUUGUUGAUACUCAAGGUUGAAUUGCAUGUGGAAACAUGCCAAGAACUAAUACGCACCCAGACCGAUAGCUUACAAGUACCGUGAGGGAAAGUUAACGAGUUUCAUUAGAAACCGCAUGAUGAAACCUUACAACCGGAAGGGUUCAAGCUCGAGAGUAAGAACCACCCGUCUUGAAACACGGACCAAGGAGUCACUGUUGUCGGCGAGCGAGACCUUCGGGGAACGCGGAUCGAAAGAAUUUGACAAUUGUUAGUCGUUGACAGUGGACCCGAAAGAUGGUGAACUAAUCUUGACUAGGAUGAAGCCAGAUGAAACUCUGGUGGAAGUCCGUUUCGAUACUGACGCGCAAAUCGUUCGUAUAAGUUGAGUUUAGGGGCGAAAGACUAAUCGAACCAUCUAGUAGCUGGUUCCCUC